UGAUCAUGGCUCAGAUUGAACGCUGGCGGCAGGCUUAACACAUGCAAGUCGAGCGGAGAGAGGUAGCUUGCUACUGAUCUUAGCGGCGGACGGGUGAAUAAUACUUAGGAAUCUGGCUAUUAGUGGGGGACAACAUUUCGAAAGGGAUGCUAAUACCGCAUACGUCCUACGGGAGAAAGCAGGGGAUCUUCGGACCUUGCGCUAAUAGAUGAGCCUAAGUCGGAUUAGCUAGUUGGUGGGGUAAAGGCCUACCAAGGCGACGAUCUGUAGCGGGUCUGAGAGGAUGAUCCGCCACACUGGGACUGAGACACGGCCCAGACUCCUACGGGAGGCAGCAGUGGGGAAUAUUGGACAAUGGGGGGAACCCUGAUCCAGCCAUGCCGCGUGUGUGAAGAAGGCCUUAUGGUUGU
Molecule: ribosomal RNA, 410 nt
Filed under: uncultured bacterium
Lineage: Bacteria
Description: bacterial SSU rRNA
Rfam family: Bacterial small subunit ribosomal RNA
Source: RNAcentral